UACGAAGGGGGCGAGCGUUGUUCGGAAUUACUGGGCGUAAAGCGCGCGUAGGCGGCUUUGUAAGUUAGAGGUGAAAGCCUGGAGCUCAACUUCAGAAUUGCCUUUAAGACUGCAUCGCUUGAAUCCGGGAGAGGUGAGUGGAAUUCCGAGUGUAGAGGUGAAAUUCGUAGAUAUUCGGAAGAACACCAGUGGCGAAGGCGGCUCACUGGACCGGCAUUGACGCUGAGGUGCGAAAGCGUGGGGAGCAAACAGG
RNAcentral lists this ribosomal RNA (253 nucleotides) under uncultured bacterium. RNAcentral's name for it is "partial 16S ribosomal RNA". It matches the Rfam family "Bacterial small subunit ribosomal RNA", at positions 524 to 776 of the family's 1533-position model. The record is from RNAcentral.